AAGACUAUACUUUCAGGGAUCAUUUCUAUAGUAUGUUACUAGAGAAGUUUCUCUGAUUGUGUAGAGUACCAAAAACCACGAGGAGGAGUUGAAAAAAAAAAAAGGGU
This 107-nucleotide small nucleolar RNA is filed under the name Marmota monax (woodchuck). Its description in RNAcentral is "Small nucleolar RNA U3". It matches the Rfam family "Small nucleolar RNA U3". Rfam says of the family: Small nucleolar RNAs (snoRNAs) are involved in the processing and modification of rRNA in the nucleolus. There are two main classes of snoRNAs: the box C/D class, and the box H/ACA class. U3 snoRNA is a member of the box C/D class. Lineage: Eukaryota; Metazoa; Chordata; Mammalia; Rodentia; Sciuridae. The record is from Rfam by way of RNAcentral.